GAUGAACGCUGGCGGCGUGCCUAAUACAUGCAAGUCGAGCGAACAGAUGAGGAUCUUGCUCCUCUGACGUUAGCGGCGGACGGGUGAGUGACAUGUGGAUCACCCACCUAUUAGACUGGGAUAAUUUCGCGAGACCUGCGCUAAUACCGGAGAAUAUAUUGAUCCGCAUGGUUCAAUAGUUAAAUACGUUUUUGCUGUCACUAAUAGUUGGAUCCGCGCCGCAUUGUCUAGUUGGUAAGGUAACGGCAUACCAAGGUAACGAUGCGUAGCCGCCCUGAGAGGGUGAACGGCCACACUGGAACUGAGAAACGGUCAAGACGCGUACGGGAGGCAGCCGUGGGGAAUAUGGGGGGAAGGGCGAAAGCCUGAUGGAGAAAGGGCGAGUGAGUGACGGAGGUCUUCGGAUUGUAAAAAUCUGUUAUUAGGGAUGAAAAACUGUGUAAGUAGCUAUGCACGUAUUGACGGUACCUAAUGAAAAAGCAACGGCUAACUACGUG
RNAcentral lists this ribosomal RNA (497 nucleotides) under uncultured bacterium. Its description in RNAcentral is "partial 16S ribosomal RNA". It matches the Rfam family "Bacterial small subunit ribosomal RNA", at positions 28 to 507 of the family's 1533-position model. The record is from RNAcentral.